Molecule: ribosomal RNA, 492 nt
Filed under: uncultured bacterium
Lineage: Bacteria
Description: partial 16S ribosomal RNA
Rfam family: Bacterial small subunit ribosomal RNA
Source: RNAcentral
AGUGAACGCUGGCGGUAGGCCUAACACAUGCAAGUCGAACGGCAGCACAGUAAGAGCUUGCUCUUACGGGUGGCGAGUGGCGGACGGGUGAGGAAUACAUCGGAAUCUACUUUUUCGUGGGGGAUAACGUAGGGAAACUUACGCUAAUACCGCAUACGACCUACGGGUGAAAGCAGGGGAUCUUCGGACCUUGCGCGAUUGAAUGAGCCGAUGUCGGAUUAGCUAGUUGGCGGGGUAAAGGCCCACCAGGGCGACGAUCCGUAGCUGGUCUGAGAGGAUGAUCAGCCACACUGGAACUGAGACACGGUCCAGACUCCUACGGGAGGCAGCAGUGGGGAAUAUUGGACAAUGGGCGCAAGCCUGAUCCAGCCAUACCGCGUGGGUGAAGAAGGCCUUCGGGUUGUAAAGCCCUUUUGUUGGGAAAGAAAAGCAGCAGGUUAAUACCCCGCUGUUCUGACGGUACCCAAAGAAUAAGCACCGGCUAACCUCGUG